AACGAACGCUGGCGGCAUGCCUAACACAUGCAAGUCGAACGAGACCUCCCGGUUUAGUGGCGCACGGGUACUUAACGCCGGGGAACCUGCCCUUAAGUUCGCAAUCCCUCCCCUAAAGGGGUGCUAAUACCGGAUAAUCUCUUCCGACCUAAGAUUUAUCGCCUUUGGAUGGGCCCGCGUUAGAUUAGCUAGUUGGUAGGGUACUAGCAUACCAACGCGACGAUGCAUAGCUGGUCGGAGAGGAUGAUCAGCCGGACUGGGACUGAGACACGGACCAGAAUGCUACGCGAGGGAGCAGAGGGGAAUAUUGGAGGAGGGGCGAAAGCCUGAUAAAGCCAUGCGGCGUGAGUGAUGAAGGCCUUAGGGUUGUAAAGCUGUUUGAGACGGGAUGAUAAUGACGGUACCGGGAGAAGAAGCACCGGCUAACUACGUG
This 433-nucleotide ribosomal RNA is filed under the name uncultured bacterium. Its description in RNAcentral is "partial 16S ribosomal RNA". It matches the Rfam family "Bacterial small subunit ribosomal RNA", at positions 29 to 507 of the family's 1533-position model. The record is from RNAcentral.